Molecule: ribosomal RNA, 400 nt
Filed under: uncultured bacterium
Lineage: Bacteria
Description: bacterial SSU rRNA
Rfam family: Bacterial small subunit ribosomal RNA
Source: RNAcentral
GGGGAAUAUUGGACAAUGGGCGCAAGCCUGAUCCAGCAAUGCCGCGUGAGUGAUGAAGGCCUUAGGGUCGUAGAGCUCUUUUACCCGGGAUGAUAAUGACAGUACCGGGAGAAUAAGCUCCGGCUAACUCCGUGCCAGCAGCCGCGGUAAUACGGAGGGAGCUAGCGUUGUUCGGAAUUACUGGGCGUAAAGCGCGCGUAGGCGGUUAUUCAAGUCAGAGGUGAAAGCCCGGGGCUCAACCCCGGAACUGCCUUUGAAACUAGAUGACUAGAAUCUUGGAGAGGUCAGUGGAAUUCCGAGUGUAGAGGUGAAAUUCGUAGAUAUUCGGAAGAACACCAGUGGCGAAGGCGACUGACUGGACAAGUAUUGACGCUGAGGUGCGAAAGCGUGGGGAGCAAAC